Gossypium raimondii (Peruvian cotton) is the source of this 80-nucleotide non-coding RNA. NCBI's taxonomy places the organism in Eukaryota, Viridiplantae, Streptophyta, Magnoliopsida, Malvales, Malvaceae. The record is from Rfam.
AGCAAAAUGAUGAAAGUAAUUUAAAAAUCUGAAUUCUGUGUGGGAAUCCCAUUCUGGGUCUUCAAAGUUCUCUGAUUGCU